Molecule: ribosomal RNA, 520 nt
Filed under: uncultured bacterium
Lineage: Bacteria
Description: partial 16S ribosomal RNA
Rfam family: Bacterial small subunit ribosomal RNA
Source: RNAcentral
GACGAACGCUGGCGGCGUGCCUAAUACAUGCAAGUCGAACGCACUCUCGUUUAGAUUGACGGAGUUUGCUCCUGAUUGAUAAACAUUUGAGUGAGUGGCGGACGGGUGAGUAACACGUGGGUAACCUGCCCUAAAGUGGGGGAUAACAUUUGGAGACAGAUGCUAAUACCGCAUAAAACCUAACACCGCAUGGUGUAGGGUUGAAAGAUGGUUUCGGCUAUCACUUUAGGAUGGACCCGCGGUGCAUUAGUUAGUUGGUGAGGUAAAGGCUCACCAAGACCGUGAUGCAUAGCCGACCUGAGAGGGUAAUCGGCCACACUGGGACUGAGACACGGCCCAGACUCCUACGGGAGGCAGCAGUAGGGAAUCUUCCACAAUGGACGAAAGUCUGAUGGAGCAACGCCGCGUGAGUGAAGAAGGUUUUCGGAUCGUAAAACUCUGUUGUUGGAGAAGAAUGUAUCUGAUAGUAACUGAUCAGGUAGUGACGGUAUCCAACCAGAAAGCCACGGCUAACUACGUG